This is an RNA transcript of Manihot esculenta (cassava), 6188 nucleotides long. It is a transcript of the gene named protein SCAI, with no coding region annotated. The record is from RefSeq and is a predicted model, not a curated record. The transcript is spliced from 8 exons. NCBI's taxonomy places the organism in Eukaryota, Viridiplantae, Streptophyta, Magnoliopsida, Malpighiales, Euphorbiaceae.
CCACAGCUCGCACCUGAAAAAAAAAACAAUAAAGGCGAAGUUUACUUGCUCUCUCUGGAGCUCUGCACGUUUACCGAUGAUAACCACCAACCACCUCCGGUAGUGACGCCUCCUUCCGUUCAUGGCCACCGAGAGCGACGUCGUUUCACAGACCUUCAGAGCUCUGGUGGAGAGCGCUGACAAGAAGUUCGCUCGCGUCCGUGACCUCCCGUCGUACGGGCAUGCUCAAAACAACUACUUCCAGAAGGUUUUCAAGCCCUACAUGCGGCUAUGGAAGUACCAGCAAGAGAACAGGUCGAAGCUAGUUGAGGCCGGUCUCAACCGGUGGGAAAUAGGUGAGAUCGCUAGCCGGAUCGGCCAGCUAUACUUUAAUCAGUACAUGAGGACCAGUGAUGCGAGGUUCUUAGUCGAAGCCUACGUGUUCUAUGAGGCGAUUUUGCAUCGAAAAUACUUUGAAGGAGCUAAAGCUAAGGAUCUCGGUGUGAGAUUUAAGGAGUUGAGGUUUUACGCGCGGUUUUUGCUCGUUUCCUUGAUUUUGAACCGGACCGAGAUGGUUCAAUUUCUUGCCGACAGGUUUAGAGCUCUUGUUGAUGAUAGCAAGUCAAAUUUCCGGGAAACAAAUUUCAAAGAGUGGAAGUUAGUGGUGCAAGAAAUUGUCCGCUUUAUGGAAGCUGAUACUGCCUUUGCAAGUGUCAGGCCUUUGCGUUAUUGUGUCUUGUUUGAUUCACAUCCAACUUCUCGUCCAUAUGUGGCUCGUUUCCAUGUGAGGAAGGUCCUAAAGUUUCAAGAUGCAAUCCUGACAAGCUAUCACCGGAAUGAGAUUAAAUUUGCAGAAAUUACUUUGGACACUUACAGAAUGCUGCAAUGCUUGGAAUGGGAGCCAAGUGGAUCUUUCUACCAAAAGCAUACAGUCGAAUCAGUCUACCAAAAGCGUCCAGUUGAACCAUAUGAGAAUGGCACUGUAACUGAUCAUUCUGGAGCUUCUGGACUAAUAGAUUUAAACCUGGCUGCAGAUUUGACGGAUCCAACUUUACCAUCAAAUCCUAGGAAAGCUGUUCUUUAUCGUCCUUCAGUGACACAUUUUCUAGCGGUUAUGGCAACAAUUUGUGAGGAGCUUCCACCUGAAGGCAUUGUGCUGAUAUAUUUUUCAGUCUCAGGGAAGGCGGGCCAAAGUAAUACUUCUUAUGUGGAAAGUUCUGGAGGGUCAAGAAAGUCUUCAAAAAACAAAGUUGGUUCUGGAAUGUUCAGUGAGCAAAAUAGUUCUGCAUCUGAAUCUCAUUCUAAUGGCAAGAGAGAUUCGAGUGAUCAUAAUGACCAUUACCUAUGGUUAGGUCCCAGAGGAACUGCUGGUCCAAAUGCCCUUUAUCCUGGUGAUAUAAUUCCUUUUACUAGAAGACCACUUUUCUUGAUUAUUGAUAGUGACAGCAGCCAUGCAUUCAAGGCAGGUUUUGGUGGUAUAUGAGUAAUGUUAAUCGGACUUGGAGCGGCUACAAGUUGUAAGGCAUAUAUUUUAAUUGGGUUUAUGAUGCAGUCUCGGAUUAUGGUUCACGUUUGAAGAUGAAAAGGAGAGGGAAGCAGAGAAUUUGAGAGAGAUACUUGAUGAUUUCCCUUAAAUCAAUUGGAGUAUAUAUACUACUUAUAAGAAUAUACAAUAGAAAAUAAAAUAAAAUAAUCUCCUAGUUAUAGCCUAAUCAUAUCACAUAAUUAUGCACACAAUCACUACAAAUUUAAGCCAUUUACAAAAAUUAUCUCAACACUUUCCCUCAAGCUGGAGCGUAUAUGUCAUAUGCUCCAAGCUUGUUACAAAUAUACUCGACUCAUGAAUCUCGAAGGGAUUUUGUGAAAACAUGUCAUGAAAAACUAGAUUUGAUACAAUAUGGAAAGCAAUUUGAUUAUCACAUAUCAGUUUCAUUUGGCAAAUGUAGCUAUACUUCAAUUCCUGAAGAAGUUGCUUCAAUUAAAUGAGUUCGCAUGUUACUAAAGCCAUAAUUCGAUAUUCUUCUUCUGCACUUGAUCUUACAAUCAUACCCUGUUUUUUACUUUUCCAAGAUAUAAUAUUCCCUCCAAUUAUAAUACAAUAUCCUGAAAUAAAUUGUCUAUCCGAAAGAGAAACUUGUCCAAUCUGCAUCAGACUAGCCAACAAUUUAUGAGUGACUCUUGUUCUCAUAGAGUAAAGCCUGUCUUGGAGCUACUUUCAUAUAUCUAAGAAUGCAGAUGACUGUGUUCCAGUGACUACUGUAUGGGGUUUGGAGAAAUUGACUAACCACACUUACAAUAAAGGAAAUAUCUAGUUGCGUGAUAGUGAGAUAGUUGAGCUUGCCAACUAAUUUUCUGUAUAUCUUUAAGUGGCUCUCCCUGUUUAGGAACAAGUUUGACAUUUGGAUCCAUAGGAGUGUCCACAUGUCUAUAGUCUAACAUGUCCGUUUCUUCUAAUAUAUCUAAAGCAUAUUUCCGUUGAGAGAUCGCAAUACCUGUUUUAGACUGUGCUACUUCAAUCCCCAAGAAAUACUUCAAUUUUUCUAGAUCUUUAGUUUGGAAAUGACUGAACAAAUGUUGAUCAAGCUGAGAGAUUCCAUUAUGAUAAUUUCUUGUGAUGACAAUGCCAUCAACAUAGACUACUAAGUAAAUGCAUCUAUCAUCAUUAUGACGAAUAAAUACGGAAUGAUCAGAUUUAUUUUUAGACAUUUCAAACUUGUGAACUACAGUGCUGAAUCAUUCAAACCAUGCUCUUGGAGACUGUCAUAGACCAUAUAAAUAGCGUCGAAGACGACAUGCUAGGCCUGAUUUCCCCCGGCAACGCAAUAAGCCUUGAAGGUUGCUCCAUAUAAACUUCUUCGGUAAGCUCUGCAUGAAGAAAGAAAUUUUCAAUGUCCAGUUGAUGAAGGGUUCAGUGAUUAAUUGUAGCCAAUGAGAGAAGGAGGCGAACAGAAGCUAUUUUUGCUACUGAAGAGAAAGUACCACUGUAAUUAAGCCCAAAAAUCUAUGUGUAACCUUUAGCUAUAAGACGAGCUUUAAGGCGAUCAAUUUUGCCAUAAGAUCCCACCUUAACUGUGUACACCCAUCGACAACCAAUAGUAGACUUGUCAGGUGGUAAAGAGAUCAGUUUUCAAGUUCCAUAAUUAUGAAAAGCAGUCAUCUCCUCAACUAUUGCAUUACACUAACCAUAAUGAUCCAAUGCUUUUUUAACUGUCUUGGGUAUAGAAACAACAGACAUGGUGGAAAUAAAAGUAUAAUAGGAAGGAGACAAACGAUGGUAACUCACAAAAUUAUAAAUGGGAUGAGGAUUUUGAGAAGAGCGAAUACCUUUUCGGAGAGCAAGAGGAGUAGCUGUUGCUACUAUAGGCAUGACCAAAGUAGGUGACGAUGGAACUGGAGGUGAGUCAUUAGAAGUAUCUGCAUCAGGGACAGAAGUAUCAUUGUUAUUAGCGGAUGGGUGAGGCCGACGUGUGUAGACCUGAAGAGGUGGUGUAGGAGUGGGAGAUGGAAUGACGUGAGGCCAAGGAGAGAUAAGAGUUAAAGGUAUAGGCAAAACUCUAGGAACGAAGGUUUUGUGCGUUGGACAAGAAGAAAAGUAAGGGGAGGUUUCAAAAAGGGUGACAUCUGCAGAGACAAAAUAUCUGUUAAUAGUGGGAUCAUAGCAUUUGUAACCUUUUUGAAGCCGAGAAAAACACAUUUAACUGAUUUGGGCUGGAGUUUGUCUUUACUAGUGGGUGUGAUCAUGAACAACAUAUAUACAUUCAAAAACUCGUAGAGACAACUGGUUGGAGGUCUGGUUAGGAAAGAGAACUGAAUUAGGACUCUGAUACUGCAAAACAGAAGAAGACAUACGAUUGAUCAAGUAGCAGGCACUAAGGACUGCCUCGCCCCAAAAACGCAACGGAACAUUAUGAUGUAUGAGUAAGGUGCGGGCGGUUUUAAUCAAAUGUCUAUUUUUUCGCUAAGCAACACCAUUUUGUUGAGGAGUAUGGGCACAAAAAGUCUGGUGAGUAAUACCCUGAUUAGACAAAAAAUGAGAAAAAGAAGAGGAAAGAUAUUAUCGUUCAUUAUCACUAUGCAAAAUCUUAAUGCGAAAAACAAAUUGAUUAUGUAUUUCAACACAAUUUUUAAAAAAUGGAUAAUAACUCAAAGCGAUUCUUCAUUAAAAAAAACGAAGUGCAACGAGAAUAAUCUUCAAUAAAUGUAACAAAAUACUGAAAUCCCAAAGUUGUACUAACACGACUUGGACCCCAAAUGUUUGAAUGAACAAUGUCAAACAUCGAGGUGGCCCUGUUAUUGUCUUGCUAGGGAAAUGAAGCCUGAGUUUGUUUUCCAAAUUGACAUGACUCACAUGCUAAAGAAGACAAAGAAGAGAGACUAGGGACAAUUUCUGCAAUUUGAUAAGACUAGGAUGUUCCAAACGGUUAUGAAUAAGCUCAACGGAAGUGGUAGAAAUAAAAGCAACUAGAGAGGUUGAGAGGUAGUAGAAUCAUUGUGACUCAGAUCCUGUUUCAAUCAUUUUCCCAGUACUCCGGUCCUGCACCACAACAGAAUCAGAAGUAAAGGUUACUGAAUAAUUAAGAUUUUUGGCCAAUUUACUAAUGGAGAUUAAAUUAUAUAGACAUUCGAGAGUGAACAAGACAAUAGUUAAGGAAAUAGAAGGAAGAAGUUGUAUUUUUUCUAUUUUAUAACUUGAGUUUGUGAACCAUUAGUUAAGGUGACUUUAGAUGGUGUGGAAUGUGAAACAAGAGUAGAGAAAAGAUUAUGAUUACCAGAGAUGUGAUCAGAAGCACCAGAGUCUAAGAUUCAUGGAUCAACAGGUGAAGACUUAGUUAGACAAGCAAAGUAAUAACCGAAGUGAGCAAUGGUGGAAGAUGGAUGAUGUUGCUUAGCUGUUUGGAUCUGCAAGUAUUUUUUAUAGUCUUCUUUAGUUAAAGUGAUUGAAUCUAGUUCCUGAGAUUUAUUGGUAGGUUGUAGAAGCAGGCCUUCUUCAUUAGAUUGGGCAAGAUGAGCUGCUGACUUGCCAGUAUUAUCGGGUUGAUUAGACCGUGGUGGUCGGCCAUGCAAUACCCAACAUGUAUUCCGUGUGUGACUUUUCUUAUCUCAAUAGGAGCAAUGAAACUUUUUCCCUUUACCUUUGUGAUUUCCUACUUAUCCUUGAUUCCCUUGUUGCACAGUCAAAACUGAGAAUUUCAUAUCUGCAGCGUCACUCUUACUAAGGGAAAUACGUAAGAGCCUAGCUGACACAUCGUUUAAAGUUAGAAUAACUAAACCAAUCAAAAUUUGAUCUUUUACAGAGCAAAGGUCAGAUCGCAGUCCAAUUAAUGCCAAAACCAUAAAGAAUUUAUCACGUUAUUUUUCUUGCGCAUCAACAUAAUCAGUAAAAGGCAUAAGAGAAUUAAAUUCAUCUUUCAGAGUUUCUACUUGACUCAAGUAACUAGUGAUAUCUUGAUGAUUCUGUUGUAAGUGAACCAUAUCUGACACAACCUUAUGGAUGCGUUGUAUGUCAUUAGUAUAUAAUGUUUUGGUCUUAGUCCAAAUCUUACAACAAGUUUGGAUCUAACGAAUGCCAUAGAAGACUACAUAAUUGAGUAUCAUCUUAACCCAAUUGAUUCUAUUAGUGGUAGUGAUAUCAGUGGCAUUUUUUGUUAAAUAAUCAUCAUACCUCUGUUCUAAAAAACAUAAGUCUAUGGAUGCAACUCAAGACAUAUAAUUAUUACUUCCUUGCAAUUUCACCGUAGCAAAUUGAAAAGAAAGGUUUAAGGGACUUAGAACCUAUAUUGAGGGUGUUUUUCUUCUGAGACAUGUCAAGAGAGAUUUUGGAAUAAGGGACUGAAUAGGGACUUGAAUCUGCCAAACAAGGAGAUUUGGAGGAAGAUUCGCCGGCAUGAAACAGUCGCUGGAGGAUGGUUCAUGAGACAGAUUGCUUUGAGCGGUGUGGAGGCGCAUGGGACCGAUUUUGGCGGCGGUGCUUCACCGGGAAGCCAAUCGGAAGCCAACGAGGAGGAUGGCCUAGGUGGUGCGACCAAUUGAUUUCUAGAAAGUCUCCAAAGCAAAGUGGCAGAUCUGCUACUCACAGGCCUUGCAUGGUGCAGAAAGGGGAGAGCCAUCUGCAUUGCUACUUUCGCCUUUGAAGCCAGCAUUCAAGAAUUUAGCUUGUGUUGAUACAACGCAUAGUGGAAGUCAGUUUACCUUUUUUUUAACUGCUCCUC